RNAcentral lists this non-coding RNA (81 nucleotides) under uncultured Symbiodinium. The record is from RNAcentral. Lineage: Eukaryota; Dinophyceae; Suessiales; Symbiodiniaceae.
CGCUUUGCCCUUCUCUACUGCCCUGGAGGCGUGCCCCAAAAACACAUACCGGAGCUCGCCAAUCGUCUUUAGUUGCGGUGG